AGCAGUAGCCACGGGAAUACGUAGGGUGCGAGCGUUAAUCGGAAUUACUGGGCGUAAAGCGUGCGCAGGCGGUUUCGUAAGACAGGCGUGAAAUCCCCGGGCUCAACCUGGGAAUGGCGCUUGUGACUGCAAAGCUAGAGUGCGGCAGAGGGGGACGGAAUUCCGCGUGUAGCAGUGAAAUGCGUAGAUAUGCGGAGGAACACCGAUGGCGAAGGCAAUCCCCUGGGCCUGCACUGACGCUCAUGCACGAAAGCGUGGGGAGCAAACAGGAUUAGAUACCCGCGUAGUCCCUGUCUCUUAUAA
This 303-nucleotide ribosomal RNA is filed under the name uncultured bacterium. RNAcentral's name for it is "partial 16S ribosomal RNA". It matches the Rfam family "Bacterial small subunit ribosomal RNA", at positions 507 to 809 of the family's 1533-position model. The record is from RNAcentral.